CUUAGAGGGAGGGCCGCUUCCGAUGUUGGAAACCUCAGCGGUCAGAAUAUAAAAUAACACAUCACACACAUCUCAAUACUUUGAGGUAAACAUGGGGUUCACUUUCUUGGCCAAGGGCACAUGACAUGGAUGGAUGGGAAUCGAAGUGCUGACCUUGCAUUUAAAGGACUGCUGCUGAUCCAUGGCUGCUCUAUGUAAUGAGCACGACCAUAAUGGACAUAAUCGAUCUUGGCUCACAUUCAUAGGAAGCUGAGUGACAGUGGUGUUGAAGGCUUCCUGACAGUUGGUGGGUGCUCUGCGUAGCUGCUUAAUCCUUUCAGCAACCGGCGAAUGUGGAUCCAUAUGGCCAGUCAAUGAUAACACUAAAUGUAGAUCCAUCCAUCUUCACUGAGAAGUGAAGCAGGAAAUGAAGACCUGCGCUGCCUCGACAUUAUCAGCCUGCAACCACAGACCCAGGGCCAUCUUUUCAUACAAAUGCUGCUUAUCUCCCCUCAUCUAAAGCUUCCUGCACCUCCAAUAAAAGGAAGCCACCCCAGUGCAGAUAAAUACAUUUUGUGGUUUGCAUUUCAAUUAAUGACAUGAGGCAUUCACAAAAAAUAAAAAACAUGUAUCUGAAGGUGAUUAUUCAGAGGGAGCUGCAGCAGCCAACGCUUUAGCGCUGGGUCGGGUUAUAACCUGGUCUCACUGGGAUGAAUAAUUGAUCUGGCACCACAGAGCUUUUCAUAGAUCAGCUGACACUUCACAUCACAACCCCUCUCUCUGUCUCUCCAAGGACUUCAAUGCUGCCAUGGUGAUGCUUCAUCACAGUGUGCCUUUAUUUUACCGCCACAAUGAAUCUGUCUGGUUAUCCAACACAGCCUCGACUAAAGAUGGACAACAUUUCUGUGACCCAUUAAAGAUUUGGCAGGUGAUAAGAGAAGGACUCAAGACCUUUGAAGAGGGCUAGAAGAUCCAGCGAUCUUAAGUGUCCUCUGGUUUGUGUUGUUUCAGUUGGGAGACCAUGAGAAGAUAUGAGAACAUUUCAGCACACCCUCAACAGACACACACACAAACAAACAAACAAACUACAUCCUUCACAUUUAAGCUUUUCUCAAAGAAUCACCAAAGUUAAAAAUUACAGAACCAUUUUACCUAUAUUUUACUUAAAAGACAUGUCAGUGUAGAAAACAACUGUGAGCUCACAAGAACAACAAACUGUAUGCUACAGUACCUUGCAAAAGUAUACAUACACCUUGAAUAUUUUAAUAUUUUGUAACACAAGAGCCAUAGACUUCAAAUAUUAAUUGGGAUUUUGUAUUUUUUGGUAAUAGAGCAACACAUAAUCAUGUAUGUUUGUAAAGUGAAAGCAAAAUUUUAGAUGAUUUUUAAGAUAUUUUAAAAAUCAUCUAAAAAUGUGGCAUUUGUA
This is a long non-coding RNA of Girardinichthys multiradiatus, 1405 nucleotides long. RefSeq lists it as uncharacterized. The transcript has 7 exons. The record is from RefSeq and is a predicted model, not a curated record. NCBI's taxonomy places the organism in Eukaryota, Metazoa, Chordata, Actinopteri, Cyprinodontiformes, Goodeidae.